UAAUACGGAGGAUCCAAGCGUUAUCCGGAAUCAUUGGGUUUAAAGGGUCCGUAGGCGGCCCGAUAAGUCAGCGGUGAAAUCUCCCGGCUCAACCGGGAAAUGGCCAUUGAUACUGUCGGGCUUGAAUUAUUGGGAAGUAACUAGAAUAUGUAGUGUAGCGGUGAAAUGCUUAGAGAUUACAUGGAAUACCAAUUGCGAAGGCAGGUUACUAUCAAUAUAUUGACGCUGAUGGACGAAAGCGUGGGUAGCGAACAGGAUUAGAUACCCUGGUAGUCCACGCCGUAAACGAUGGAUACUAGCUGUUGGGAGCAAUCUCAGUGGCUAAGCGAAAGUGAUAAGUAUCCCACCUGGGGAGUACGUUCGCAAGAAUG
This 371-nucleotide ribosomal RNA is filed under the name uncultured bacterium. Its description in RNAcentral is "bacterial SSU rRNA". It matches the Rfam family "Bacterial small subunit ribosomal RNA", at positions 521 to 896 of the family's 1533-position model. The record is from RNAcentral.